CCUACGGGAGGCAGCAGUGGGGAAUAUUGCACAAUGGGGGAAACCCUGAUGCAGCGACGCCGCGUGAGUGAAGAAGUAUUUCGGUAUGUAAAGCUCUAUCAGCAGGGAAGAAAAUGACGGUACCUGAUUAAGAAGCCCCGGCUAACUACGUGCCAGCAGCCGCGGUAAUACGUAGGGGGCAAGCGUUAGCCGGAUUUACUGGGUGUAGAGGGAGCGUAGACGGCAGGACAAGUCUGGAGUGAAAUGCCGCGGCUUAACCCCGGAACUGCGUUGGAAACUGUGCAGCUAGAGUGCAGGAGAGGGAAGUGGAAUUCCUAGUGUAGCGGUGAAAUGCGUAGAUAUUAGGAGGAACACCAGUGGCGAAGGCGGCUUACUGGACUGUAACUGACGUUGAGGCUCGAAAGCGUGGGGAGCAAACAGGAUUAGAUACCCGAGUAGUC
RNAcentral lists this ribosomal RNA (440 nucleotides) under uncultured bacterium. RNAcentral's name for it is "partial 16S ribosomal RNA". It matches the Rfam family "Bacterial small subunit ribosomal RNA", at positions 338 to 795 of the family's 1533-position model. The record is from RNAcentral.